This 253-nucleotide ribosomal RNA is filed under the name uncultured bacterium. RNAcentral's name for it is "partial 16S ribosomal RNA". It matches the Rfam family "Bacterial small subunit ribosomal RNA", at positions 524 to 776 of the family's 1533-position model. The record is from RNAcentral.
UACGGAGGGUGCAAGCGUUGUCCGGAUUUAUUGGGUUUCAAGGGUGCGUAGGCGGCUUUUUAAGUCAGUGGUGAAAUACAGCAGCUCAACUGUUGAGGUGCCAUUGAUACUGAAGAGCUUGAGUACAGAUGAGGUAGGCGGAAUUUAUGGUGUAGCGGUGAAAUGCAUAGAUACCAUAAAGAACACCGAUUGCGAAGGCAGCUUACUAAGCUGUAACUGACGCUGAGGCACGAAAGCGUGGGGAGCGAACAGG